UGAGAAGAUCCGGCGAAAAACUCAGUGG
RNAcentral lists this small RNA (28 nucleotides) under Bombyx mori (domestic silkworm). RNAcentral describes it as "ovarian small RNA-32121". The record is from RNAcentral. Lineage: Eukaryota; Metazoa; Arthropoda; Insecta; Lepidoptera; Bombycidae.